RNAcentral lists this transfer RNA (73 nucleotides) under Mustela putorius furo (domestic ferret). It matches the Rfam family "tRNA". Rfam says of the family: Transfer RNA (tRNA) molecules are approximately 80 nucleotides in length. Their secondary structure includes four short double-helical elements and three loops (D, anti-codon, and T loops). Further hydrogen bonds mediate the characteristic L-shaped molecular structure. tRNAs have two regions of fundamental functional importance: the anti-codon, which is responsible for specific mRNA codon recognition, and the 3' end, to which the tRNAs corresponding amino acid is attached (by aminoacyl-tRNA synthetases). tRNAs cope with the degeneracy of the genetic code in two manners: having more than one tRNA (with a specific anti-codon) for a particular amino acid; and 'wobble' base-pairing, i.e. permitting non-standard base-pairing at the 3rd anti-codon position. The record is from Rfam by way of RNAcentral. Lineage: Eukaryota; Metazoa; Chordata; Mammalia; Carnivora; Mustelidae.
GCCUGCCUGACUCAGUUGGUAGAGCAUGAAACUCUUGAUCUCGGGAGCAUGAGUUCAAGUCCCAUGUUGGGUG